Molecule: unclassified non-coding RNA, 163 nt
Filed under: uncultured Ascomycota
Lineage: Eukaryota; Fungi; Ascomycota
Description: sequence contains ITS2
Source: RNAcentral
UCAACCAUCAAGCCUGGCUUGUAGUUGGACCCCUUUGCAGCUGAAAUAUGCGGCAGGUCCGAAAGAUAAUGACGGCGUCGUGUUUGACCCUAGAUGCAACGAGCUUUUUAAUAGCACGCAUUGAAGCGGUCGGCCGGCCCGGUCUUUAACCAUCAUUUUCUAA